AGUGAACGCUGGCGGUAGGCCUAACACAUGCAAGUCGAACGGCAGCACAGUAAGAGCUUGCUCUUACGGGUGGCGAGUGGCGGACGGGUGAGGAAUACAUCGGAAUCUACUUUUUCAUGGGGGAUAACGUAGGGAAACUUACGCUAAUACCGCAUACGACCUACGGGUGAAAGCAGGGGAUCUUCGGACCUUGCGCGAUUGAAUGAGCCGAUGUCGGAUUAGCUAGUUGGCGGGGUAAAGGCCCACCAAGGCGACGAUCCGUAGCUGGUCUGAGAGGAUGAUCAGCCACACUGGAACUGAGACACGGUCCAGACUCCUACGGGAGGCAGCAGUGGGGAAUAGUGGACAAUGGGCGCAAGCCUGAUCCAGCCAUACCGCGUGGGUGAAGAAGGCCUUCGGGUUGUAAAGCCCUUUUGUUGGGAAAGAAAAGCAGCAGGUUAAUACCCCGCUGUUCUGACGGUACCCAAAGAAUAAGCACCGGCUAACUUCGUG
This 492-nucleotide ribosomal RNA is filed under the name uncultured bacterium. RNAcentral's name for it is "partial 16S ribosomal RNA". It matches the Rfam family "Bacterial small subunit ribosomal RNA", at positions 29 to 507 of the family's 1533-position model. The record is from RNAcentral.